AUCAGGUAGGACUACCCGCUGAACUUAAGCAUA
This 33-nucleotide ribosomal RNA is filed under the name Hebeloma hiemale. RNAcentral's name for it is "partial 28S ribosomal RNA". The record is from RNAcentral. Lineage: Eukaryota; Fungi; Basidiomycota; Agaricomycetes; Agaricales; Hymenogastraceae.